GUCAUUUUCCCUAAUAUCUUCUUGACUAGCUACAUUUUAGGACCAAAACCACAAUCAAUCCACAAUAAAAGAAUUAUAAUUACAAUCCAUCUAAAAAAAAUUACUAACCAAUUACCAUUUUUACUCUAUAAUUUAAUACUCAAAUUAUCGAUUAGUGGGAGAAAUAAGUCAUAACAUCGAGACAGAUUGUAUUCGCAUUCUAAGGGGGUGUUUGGUAUUUGGAAAAUGGGAUUGUUUUUCCAAAUACCAAACACCUAGAGAGACUUGUGCAAGAUUUAGGGUUAUUUGGGCAAAUCGCGUUUCCUGCAAAAUCGAGUCAAGAGCUCUGUGCUAAACAUAGGGUUACUUGGGCAAAUCAGUUUAAGAGUUGGAGCUAGCUGUGGUUUCUAAAUCGAGUUAAAGGUUUGGCAAAUCAGUUUAAGAGUUGAGCUUAUACACACUGCGGUUUCGAAAUCGAGUUCUAGGGUAUGGAGAUGGUGAACAACACUGAUCAAAUCACUCGGCUGGAGACGGACUUGGCUAAACUCCGCCGGUAUCUUUUAAUUUAGGAUAGGUUUAUCUAUUAACACUUAUAUAUAUAUAUAUAUAUAUAUAUAUAUAUAUAUAUAUAUAUAUAUAUAUAUAUAUAUAUAUAUAUAUAUAUAGGGUUUUGAAAUGACUUUUUGAUUAAGAUGGAAUAAGAAUUAUAGAGUUUUGCUCUGUUUUGAGAGAAUCCCUUAGUCUCGAAUAACAGGUCUUAUCAAAGCUCUUCUCCCAAUGGAGAGCUCCAGGUAUUUGGGGUCAAUGAUCCACAAGGGUAGUGGAGGUAAAUAUUACACAUCCUAUAAAGGCAGGUUGCCUGAGCAAGAAGGACCACAAGAGAGAUGGUAGUAGCAACAAGAGAGAUAGUAGUAACAAAAAUGAGUAUGUUGAGGUGGACUUGUGGCACGACUCUGCUAACUAGGACACCAAAUGUAGCUAUAAGAAAUGCAUUGAGUGUGACACAAAUCACUAAAAAAUUGAGAGAAUGAAGACUUAGGUGGUAUGAACAAAAGGAGGCCCCUAUCUGCAACGGUAAGGAGGGUGAAGCCAAUGGUUGUUCAAUGUAGGAGGAGGAGAGGACAUCUGAGAAGGAAGUGAGAUGAUAGUAUAUGGCCAUAUAUGGAGGAGCUUGCUCUUUCUGAGGACAUGACCUCAAAAAGGAGGGUUAAAUAUUAGGGUUUUUGAGUAACUUCUCCCUUUGUAUAUGUGUCGCGGGGUUUGGUUUUUUGCUGUUAGUAUUUGCUCCUUUUUAUGUGUUACUUCUCUCCCAAACUAUCUUUUCCCUUGUUAGCAUCUUUUGCAGGUUUCCUGGAGCUUCCAUCGAUUCUAUGACUUUUUAAGUGUUUUUGUCUCAAUGCUCAAUUUCACCCACCUCCCCAAUAUCCCAUCCAAAUGGAAUUUGGAUUCCAUGGUUUGACGUCAUUGCUGCAUUUGAAUUGUAGAUAUAAUAAGUAUCAUCAGGUCGAAAUCCAUACGAGGUUUGAAGCAAAAUUAAGUAAAAUUAUGCUGAUAUAAAAGUUCCUCAAAUCCCUAAUUAUCCAAGCAUAAGAUACAUAUUAGCUUCCCUCUUUUCAUUAACAUUAUACGUGUUGUGUUCAAGGGUGGACUGUGCUAUCCCUAAAAAAAAAAUCCUGAGUACAGUAAAAAUUAAUAAAAAAAGGUUUAGUUUAUAAUACUUAGCCCACUUAGCCCAAUGUUUAUACUUCAAAAAGCUAAAAGUCCAAUUAACGUCCAAAUGACUUUGUGAACUGUGAGCUCAUUCAAAAUACCAUGUUGGAAAUAGUGGAGGAUUGGUUUCAUAAAGAAAUGAAAAAACAAAAUCGCUAGAAGCUUGGAACACAACUUCGUUGUUAUCAUUGGACGUGGACGACUGGAAUAGAGAAAGAAAAAUAUCAAUUGUGAAUCACCUGUUGUUGCGGUUUUGACUAUAGCGGAAGAAAUAGAGGUAGAAGGAAGAAAUCGUUGGGAGUUUAGAAAUCACAGACUCCAAAAUCGAGAUCAUGAAACAAAUAAGUUUCCUAUAUGCUUGUUAUGUACCCUAAUUUUAAUAAUAAUAAAUUACCAUGCAUGUAACUUUGAACUUUGGAGCUGUGGUCUUGAUUAGAGGUGUGACUUUGAACUUUUGAGCUGCGAUUUUAAUUUUGAGUAGUGAUUUUGAUUUUAAUUAUAAGCUUGUAGAGUAAUUAAUUUGUGAAGCUCUUCAGGUUUGAAUCGACAAGAUUAAAUUAAAAUCUAAAAUCACUUCUUCAAAUUAAAAUUGUAGUUCAAAAGUUUAAGGUCGCUCUUCUAAUCAAGAGGGUAAAAUCACAACUCAAAAAUUCAAAGUUGAAUGCUUGAUAAUUUGUGAUUAUUAAAAUUAGGGUUCCUAACAGUCAUAUAGGAAACUUACAUGUUUCAUGAUUUCAAUUUUAAAGGCUGCAAUUUUUAACCUUCCAACAAUUUUGUCCUUCUACUUUUUGUUCUUCCACUGUAGACAACACCGCAAAAGUUCAUGCCAUUCACUGUUGAUGUUUUUAUUUCUCUAUUCCAGCCGUCCAGGUCCCGCGGUAGCAGCGAGUUCUGUUCUAAGCUUCUAGCAAUUUUGCUUUUUUCGAUUUUUGAUGAAAUCGGUCCUCCCGCUCUUUCCGAUGUUGCAUUUGAGUGAGCCCACAAAAUCCACAUUUGGACGUUAAUUGGGCUUUUAGCCUUUUGAAGUUUAAACAUUAGGCUAAGUAGUGGCACCUUAAACUAAUCUUUUAAAAAAAAAAAAAUUACAGUAUGCACGAUUUUUUGAGGGGAGCACAGUCUACCCGUGUAUGAUUGUCUUCCGAAUUCUUGAUCACUUGAUCCAUGGUUUGUGCUCUCAAGGAAGAACAUGUAAUGUAAUCCUAGAAAGAUUUGUGAUGAGGUGAAGGCCAAAGGUUUUGUUCCAAGUAGUAAAUCGUAUAACCCGCUUGUGAAUUCUUUAACACUUGAGGGUGAAGUAGAUGAAGCUGUGAGUUACUUGAGGGAGAUGAUUGGAAAUCAAAGGUCGGCUGCAUUACCUAUUUCACUAUGCUUCAUUAGUUUUCCACACAGCAGAGGUGUGGAGAUGCGGUAAAUUUGCUAAAGGAAUUGCAAGACAAAAGCUUGGUGGAUCCAACUACUUACAGGAAGCUUCAACAUCAACUUCAACUCAAUUAUAGAAAUUUAUAUGAUUCAGGAAUUCAUAAAUUUUGUUAUUGGUUAUAUUUUGUGCCAUCUUUUUGUUUAUCAAUGAUAUAUAGUUGCAUUCUCACUA
This is a non-coding RNA of Lactuca sativa (garden lettuce), 3280 nucleotides long. NCBI's taxonomy places the organism in Eukaryota, Viridiplantae, Streptophyta, Magnoliopsida, Asterales, Asteraceae. The record is from RefSeq and is a predicted model, not a curated record.